CCUACGGGGGGCAGCAGUGAGGAAUAUUGGUCAAUGGACGAGAGCCUGAACCAGCCAAGCAGCGUGCAGGACGACUGCUCUACGGGUUGUAAACUUCUUUUAUAUGGGAAUAAAAUGUUCCACGUGUGGGAUUUUGUAUGUACCAUAUGAAUAAGGCUCGGCUAACUCCGUGCCAGCAGCCGCGGUAAUACGGAGGAUCCGAGCGUUAUCCGGAUUGAUUGGGUUUAAAGGGAGCGUAGGUGGAUGGAUAAGUCAGUGGUGAAAGUUUGCGGCUCAACCGCAAAAUUGCAGUUGAUACUGGCAGUCUAGAGUACAGUAGAGGUAGGCGGAAUGCGUGGUGUAGCGGUGAAAUGCUUAGAUAUCACGAAGAACUCCGAUUGCGAAGGCAGCUCACUGGACUGCAACUGACACUGAGGCUCGAAAGUGUGGGUAUCGAACAGGAUUAGAUACCCUUGUAGUC
This 460-nucleotide ribosomal RNA is filed under the name uncultured bacterium. RNAcentral describes it as "partial 16S ribosomal RNA". It matches the Rfam family "Bacterial small subunit ribosomal RNA", at positions 338 to 795 of the family's 1533-position model. The record is from RNAcentral.